GGCGUCCGAGUUGUAAUCUAUAGAGGCGUUUUCCGUGCCGGACCGUGUCCAAGUUCCUUGGAACAGGAUAUCAAAGAGGGUGACAAUCCCGUACUUGACACGACGACCGGUGCUCUGUGAUACGUCUUCUACGAGUCGAGUUGUUUGGGAAUGCAGCUCAAAAUGGGUGGUGAGUUCCAUCUAAAGCUAAAUAUUGGCGAGAGACCGAUAGCGAACAAGUACCGUGAGGGAAAGAUGAAAAGCACUUUGGAAAGAGAGUUAAACAGUACGUGAAAUUGUUGAAAGGGAAACGAUUGAAGUCAGUCGUGACCGAGAGGCUCAGCCGGUUCUGCCGGUGUAUUCCCCUCGGUCGGGUCAACAUCAGUUUUGUCCGGUGGAUAAGGGCGGUAGGAAGGUGGCACCCUCGGGUGUGUUAUAGCCUGCCGUCGCAUACAUCGGGUGAGACUGAGGAACGCAGCUC
RNAcentral lists this ribosomal RNA (460 nucleotides) under Papiliotrema laurentii. RNAcentral's name for it is "eukaryotic LSU rRNA". It matches the Rfam family "Eukaryotic large subunit ribosomal RNA", at positions 133 to 601 of the family's 3401-position model. Lineage: Eukaryota; Fungi; Basidiomycota; Tremellomycetes; Tremellales; Rhynchogastremaceae. The record is from RNAcentral.